GUCUGCCAGAAAUUGAUGAAGAGGUAUGAAAAGUGAUGUAAUUAAACAAAGAUGCCAAGUAUGUUCUUCAAAAUUUUCAUGUCUACAGUUUAUGGACAGACAAAUAAAAAUUUUUCGUUUUAGCUGUAUGUAUAGCAUUGACAUAUGUGUUAUAAGAGUGUGCCAUCAUGCAAUGAUGGGUUUUUAAAUCCAUUGUGGCAUCUUG
Molecule: unclassified non-coding RNA, 205 nt
Filed under: Hevea brasiliensis (rubber tree)
Lineage: Eukaryota; Viridiplantae; Streptophyta; Magnoliopsida; Malpighiales; Euphorbiaceae
Source: RNAcentral